GAUGAACGCUGGCGGCGUGCCUAAUACAUGCAAGUCGAGCGAACAGACGAGGAGCUUGCUCCUCUGACGUUAGCGGCGGACGGGUGAGUAACACGUGGAUAACCUACCUAUAAGACUGGGAUAACUUCGGGAAACCGGAGCUAAUACCGGAUAAUAUAUUGAACCGCAUGGUUCAAUAGUGAAAGACGGUUUUGCUGUCACUUAUAGAUGGAUCCGCGCCGCAUUAGAUAGUUGGUAAGGUAACGGCUUACCAAGGCAACGAUGCGUAGCCGACCUGAGAGGGUGGUCGGCCACACUGGAACUGAGACACGGUCCAGACUCCUACGGGAGGCAGCAGUAGGGAAUCUUCCGCAAUGGGCGAAAGCCUGACGGAGCAACGCCGCGUGAGUGAUGAAGGUCUUCGGAUCGUAAAACUCUGUUAUUAGGGAAGAACAAAUGUGUAAGUAACUAUGCACGUCUUGACGGUACCUAAUCAGAAAGCCACGGCUAACUACGUG
This 497-nucleotide ribosomal RNA is filed under the name uncultured bacterium. Its description in RNAcentral is "partial 16S ribosomal RNA". It matches the Rfam family "Bacterial small subunit ribosomal RNA", at positions 28 to 507 of the family's 1533-position model. The record is from RNAcentral.